GAUGAACGCUGGCGGCGUGCUUAACACAUGCAAGUCGAGCGAGAGAGUUCCUUCGGGAACAAUCUAGCGGCGGACGGGUGAGUAACACGUGGGCAACCUGCCUCAUAGAGGGGAAUAGCCUUCCGAAAGGGAGAUUAAUACCGCAUAAUAUCAUUGGAUGGCAUCAUUUAAUGAUCAAAGGAGUAAUCCGCUAUGAGAUGGGCCCGCGGCGCAUUAGCUAGUUGGUGAGGUAACGGCUCACCAAGGCGACGAUGCGUAGCCGACCUGAGAGGGUGAUCGGCCACAUUGGGACUGAGACACGGCCCAGACUCCUACGGGAGGCAGCAGUGGGGAAUAUUGCACAAUGGGGGAAACCCUGAUGCAGCAACGCCGCGUGAGUGAUGAAGGUCUUCGGAUUGUAAAGCUCUGUCUUCAGGGACGAUAAUGACGGUACCUGAGGAGGAAGCCACGGCUAACUACGUGCCAGCCGCCGCGGUAACAC
This 481-nucleotide ribosomal RNA is filed under the name uncultured bacterium. RNAcentral describes it as "bacterial SSU rRNA". It matches the Rfam family "Bacterial small subunit ribosomal RNA", at positions 28 to 526 of the family's 1533-position model. The record is from RNAcentral.